UACAGAGGGUGCGAGCGUUAUUCGGAAUUACUGGGCGUAAAGCGCGCGUAGGCGGCUUUGCAAGUCGGUUGUGAAAUCCCCAGGCUCAACCUGGGAACUGCAUUCGAGACUGCAUUGCUAGAGUAUGGGAGAGGGAAGUGGAAUUUCCGGUGUAGAGGUGAAAUUCGUAGAUAUUAGGAAGAACACCAGUGGCGAAGGCGGCUCACUGGCCCGGUACUGACGCUGAGGCGCGAAAGCGUGGGGAGCAAACAGG
Molecule: ribosomal RNA, 253 nt
Filed under: uncultured bacterium
Lineage: Bacteria
Description: partial 16S ribosomal RNA
Rfam family: Bacterial small subunit ribosomal RNA
Source: RNAcentral